UACGAAGGGGGCUAGCGUUGUUCGGAAUCACUGGGCGUAAAGCGCACGCAGGCGGCUAUGUAAGUCAGAGGUGAAAUCCUGGGGCUCAACCUCAGAACUGCCUUUGAAACUACAUAGCUAGGAUUUGGAAGAGGGUGGUGGAAUUCCUAAUGUAGAGGUGAAAUUCGUAGAGAUUAGGAGGAACACCAGUGGCGAAGGCGGCCACCUGGUCCAAUAUCGACGCUCAUGUGCGAAAGCGUGGGGAUCAAACAGG
RNAcentral lists this ribosomal RNA (253 nucleotides) under uncultured bacterium. RNAcentral's name for it is "partial 16S ribosomal RNA". It matches the Rfam family "Bacterial small subunit ribosomal RNA", at positions 524 to 776 of the family's 1533-position model. The record is from RNAcentral.